Molecule: RNase P RNA, 445 nt
Filed under: Bacillus sp. (in: firmicutes)
Lineage: Bacteria; Bacillati; Bacillota; Bacilli; Caryophanales; Bacillaceae
Description: Bacillus sp. (in: Bacteria) RNase P RNA component class B
Rfam family: Bacterial RNase P class B (bases 63-445)
About the family: Ribonuclease P (RNase P) is a ubiquitous endoribonuclease, found in archaea, bacteria and eukarya as well as chloroplasts and mitochondria.
Source: RNAcentral
UAAUUUUGUCAAUCGUUCCUGAAUGAUUGCCAACCUGCCAUUUUCAAAAGACAGCUUCUCUAAUUUUCCCCCGAUCUGUUUCAAGAAAAUAUUAUCCACCCGAUAUUUCGGUGCUGAGAUGCCCGUAGUGUUCGUGCCUAGCGAAACAAUAAGCUAGGGCAGCCUGGUUUCGACUGGGCUGACGGCAGGGAACGAGCCUAAGUCUUCGGAUAUGGCUCUAUUACCUUGAAAGUGCCACAGUGACGUAGCCUUGGAAGAAAUGACAAGGGUGGAACGAGGUAAACCCCGCGAGCGAGAAACCCAAAUAAUGGUAGGGGAACUUUCUCUGAGGAAUUCAACUCAAGAGAGAGGCAAGAGACAAGCUCUUGCAGAUAGAUGAUUACCACCGGAGUACGAGAUUUUUCAAUCGUAAGCAGUACGAUGGUACAGAACAUGGCUUACAGAA